Long non-coding RNA from Hemiscyllium ocellatum (epaulette shark), 218 nucleotides. RefSeq lists it as uncharacterized. Lineage: Eukaryota; Metazoa; Chordata; Chondrichthyes; Orectolobiformes; Hemiscylliidae. The record is from RefSeq and is a predicted model, not a curated record. The transcript is spliced from 3 exons.
AAUGGAGUUAUCGACAUGGGGAGCUGAAUGUAAUCCGCCUCCAUCGGCUUAAUGAGUUUGCAGAGUUGAAGGCCCAGGCCUAAUCCCCCCAGUUUCCUGGAUCUGUAUCAUAGGGAGGGGAUGACCUGACCUGGUGGUGGAGGGUCUGAUGCAUGGGUCCGAUAUGCCACAAGACAAAUAUUGAAGACUUAAUGAAUUUAACAAAGUUAACUGCCAAG